UGAGAAUUGCCUGAUAACAAAUAAACUGCAAAAAGAAUUCUCAUCCUAAGGACAAGAAUAAAAGCCUUAAAACAUCUAACAAGACCAACACUGACCCAAACUAACUUUUUUUAAACUAAGAAACUUAAUUAACACUAACCUUAGCCCUUAAUCUAAUCUCCUAAAAUAUAAUCAUCUAACUUUUUUUUUUCUAUUUCCAUAUUACAUAACAUCCCUAUACAAAAAGAACAUUGAACAAAGAAAUUGAAAAAAAAACUAGCCAAAUAACACUAAGAACUGAAAUGACAGACUCUAUGACUAGGAAAAACUGUUUCUCUGCUUCUUUUCAUUCACUUGUGCUCCUCCUCAACCGACACAUUGCUCGGGUUGAACUCCAGUUGGGUGGCUAUUGCUGGUGAUGAGGUCCUGGCUAUGAUGUCGUUGUCUGGGACGAUGGUGGUUCUCAUUUCAAGAACCUUCUUGUGAGAGUUUGAGUGCAAUGCUGGAACAAAUGUAGGACUUGCAGCUGGCCUGUAUUCAGGGAAGAGUCGUCCUGACUUGUAACGAACACCACAGGCGUUGCAGAGAGUUUUUGGUCCCAUUGGACCAGCCCUCCAUUGAGGAGUCUUUGUUAUCUCGCAAUGCUGGCAUUUCCGAACUGCUUGUUGUGCCACUGGAUUCUGAUUUGUCUCGACCGGAGCUAGAGGAAUAGAGAAUUUGAUCUUCUUUUUCUUUUUCUGUUCUGGUUCAGCCGGUUUCAGAAUCUUCUUCAUGGGAGACUCCGCGAAAUUCUCUGAUUCUGUUGGAACAACUGGAGCAACAAAUACUGGGAAGGGAUUAAAAGUUGUUGGGCGAGGACGCUUGGUCCGAGCACGUUGUGGACCACGGUGGCAUGGACUAAGGGGUAAAGUUUUUUCCCCCGAGCUGGAAAAUGACGAGCUGCUGCUGCUGCUGCUUUCAAGCACAGACACAGGACUCGAAGUCUGGAACUUGCCUUGGGAUGACGGCUCUUUCUCAACAGGAAUGUUUUCUUUCCCGAGAGUCAAUCCCCCGCCGGAGAAAGAAUCCUCCACAAAUGUUGAAAGCCAUUCAAGCUGGACAAUAUCCUCAUACGGAACUGAGAGCUCAGCCGAGAGGUCAGAGGCAGAAUUCCGGUGGCUGCCAGAGAAAAGGGAGUCAGAAUCCGGUAAGGGGUCAUUCCAAAUGCUUGGAAAAUCUUUGCAAUCAGUAGAACUAAGGCCAACAUUCUCACUCUCAAGAGGGAAAUCAAUCAAAUCAUCAAUGUGGUCAAAGAAGCUGCCACAAUCUAUCUCAUCUACCACAUUUGACCCCAUAGUUUCUUGAUUUUUUUCUACUCUAAAAACCUUUACCUUGAAGAAACUAGCUAGCUAUCUAGAAAAAUGAGAAAGG
This 1389-nucleotide unclassified non-coding RNA is filed under the name Hevea brasiliensis (rubber tree). The record is from RNAcentral. Lineage: Eukaryota; Viridiplantae; Streptophyta; Magnoliopsida; Malpighiales; Euphorbiaceae.